Molecule: long non-coding RNA, 1424 nt
Organism: Strongylocentrotus purpuratus (purple sea urchin)
Lineage: Eukaryota; Metazoa; Echinodermata; Echinoidea; Camarodonta; Strongylocentrotidae
Exons: 2
Source: RefSeq, a predicted model, not a curated record
ACCAUCCUCCUCGCCUGCCUGUGCAUCCACAACCUCCUGAGAGACCAGGCAUCCGCUGAGCAGAAUGGCAUGAUGGACAGAGAGGACGACCAGCACAACAUCAUCCCGGGUGCAUGGAGAGAGGGGGGCGUGCUGGAUGACAUGCAACAGAGGCUUGCUGGCAACUACACCACCAAGAUUGCCAAGCGCCAGCGCCUGUACCUCAAGUAUUACUACAAUGGCACCGCCGGAGCAGUUCCCUGGCAGCAGCGCAUGGCCUAAGCAGUUGGCCAAACAUAACAAACAGACAAAUCAUGCAACUCUUGAUGCUUAAAUUUGACAACAAAAAAAUUGAACAAGGUAACGAAAGGAUGUAAAUUUAUUUAUAAAAUCUGUGUUGAGAAAAUCUUUAAAACUCCUAUUUCACAAAACAAAUGGAGGAACAUUGUUUCAAAACCAAUUGUUACUUGGGACAAAAUUUAUAUGAUUCCUUUUAAAUGUUCUUUAUCAAGAAAACUUAGAUAUUUACAAUAUAAAAUUCUUCAUAAUAUCCUUGGUGUUAACAAGUAUCUGAAAACUGUUGGUAUAUUAAAUUUGUGUUCUUUUUGUUCAAAACACUCUGAAACUAUUGCCCAUUUAUUUUGGGAAUGCCCCUUCAAUCGUCGAUUUUUAGAUGAUUUUGAAAAAUACACUCUCAAAAGUGAAAUAAUGUUAUCUUUUAAUGAUUUUGUAUUUGGCAUACCAGGUGGAAAUUAUUCUUCUUUUAAUUUUGAUAUUUUAUAUGCUAAAUAUUAUAUAUUUUCAACUAGGUGUUUAAAUGGUUAUUUAUCGUUUUCAUCAUUUAAAAAGAAAUUAAAAUAUCAGCAUGAGAUAGAACGCGUUAUGAACACGCAACGAAAUAAGUGUAUUGUACAUCUUGAUGGGUCGAGGCACAUCGAGCUUAUUUAAAUUUUGUUUUGCUAUAUUUUGUUUUCUAUACAUGUAUAAUAUUGUUUGUAAUGUAUUACAUGCAUUUUGCAUUUGAUUAUCGUCGGUGGGCAUCUCAGACUUGAUGAAAUGCGACUGAAGCAAGCUCCGAUCCACGUGGGUUUAUAUGUGGAUGGUGCGGACGCCAGAGGAAGCCGACAUGCGCAGACACGAGCGUAACUUAUCCGUAUCGUCCGUAAGUCAUCCGUAUCGUUCGUAAGUCAUCCGUAAAAUCCGUAAGUCAUCCGUAAGUCGUCAGUAACAUGUGUCAGCGGGUUGGCAGCGGAUGGGUUCAUCCGCAGGUUUUACCCGUAACAUCCGUAAUUCAUACGUAACAUCCGUAACUAAUCCGUAUCGUCCGCAGAAUAUAGGUAACUUUUGCUCAAAUUUCCGUAUUGGGGUUAAAAAUUACGCAUUUUCAUUAUCCAAAUAUACGCAGGCAUCCGCAGGUCCGUAACAUGGCCGUGUGACUGUAGCAU